Molecule: long non-coding RNA, 2341 nt
Organism: Astatotilapia calliptera (eastern happy)
Lineage: Eukaryota; Metazoa; Chordata; Actinopteri; Cichliformes; Cichlidae
Source: Ensembl
CUUCACAAACGAAGGUAACAACUUCUUUUAUAAACAACAAUUUUAUAAUUACUGAGCUUUUUUUCUUUUUCGUUUCUUUUCUUUUGUUGUAAAAAGGCACAGACGAAUUGCAGCAUUUAAAACAUGGACAACAGAAUACUGAAGCUACAGCAGCUGUUCUACAAAAAACAAAUCAGCUGAAACGUCACUGUCUUUCAGUGACAAACCUGUAUAAUGCAUCUGCAAAUACUAAAUGAUUUGCAUACUGUGAACUGAGACAGACACACAGUAGCCACAAAAGUGCUAUUUUUGAUUUAGGUUAACACUUGCAUGCUGCAGAUGCAAAUGUUUACCUUCUAACAGAGACUGAGCUCUCAAAACUGUGAUAUUAUUUUUUUUAUUUUCUUGACUUUAAUUUUUUUUUCUUUUUUGCAGGUGUGGAAACUCCCUGUUAUGGCAGACAGGAUAGAGCUCAGUGUUUUGGAGUUUUGGGAGGAAGUAUAGACAUACAGCUGAUGAACGGCACCUCAGAAAUACAUAAAUACAAAUAUUUAAAGAAUUCAUUAGUACUACUAUAUGUGUCAGACAAACAAGUUCAGGCUAAUACCAUAGGACACAGAUCUCUCAUUUUCCACGUUAAUGGAACAUUUAGGAUCAACAACUUGAGCAGCAAUGACAGUGGUAUUUAUACCCUUCAAACCUUUGAUGCAGCUGCAAGAUCAACAGGCGAGUGGACUUUACAGUUGUUUAUUCAAGGUAAUUAUUUUCCCUGUUCGGAGAUUAAGAAUAGAUAUACAUCUAAUAGCAGCAUAUAUGUUCUUCAUUUAAAAUAACAAGAAAUGACCAGGAUCCUGUUAUACUACCAAAAUUCAUCUGUGUGUUUCUCUCAGCUCCUGUGUCCUCUGUCCUGCUGGUCUCUGAGUGUCUGUCCCAGGGAGAGAGGAGGGUGUCCUGCUCCUCUGAGGGAGGGGACAGUCCUCAGUACAGCUGGACUCUGGAUGGACGCACACUGACAGAUGCUGAGCUCCUUUCUGUAAAUAAUGAGACUAACAUCAUCACUCUGAAACAGCACGUCUCAGGACGUCUGGUCUGCUCAGUCAGGAAUUACAUCAGUAAUGUCUCCAAAGAGGAGAGAAUAUCUAUCUGUGGCUUCAUUUUCAUUAACUGCACCUUAGUCAAUGGGACACAGAUAUCAGGGUGGGUGCAUGAAGCCAAUAAAAUCCUGUGUAUUAAACCAACAACACAACUAACACGAGACCCUAAAAUGAUCACGCAAACUGCUGUGACUGAAGGGACUGACAGAGUGCCAAUUGAAAACCCGAAUGAUAUCCUCAGUCCAGCUUUCAGCAGUGCUCAGCUGUGGUACAUUACGUUCCUAAUUUUAUUAGUUGUGGGUGUAGCAGUCAUCUGGGCUCAGAGAAAAAAGCAAAACAACAAACCUACAAAACAAAAAGAUGAAGAAGAUGAUGAGGAAGUAACCUACGCUGAUGUCAGGGUGAUGAAACACCGGGAGAAGGAAAUGGAGCAAAAAUCGGAGGUGGAGGUGGAGUAUGGCCAAGUCAAGUUUUCAAAGCGACCUCUGUACACUGAACCUACAGAAGAUGACUGUUUGUAUGCCAAUGUUCAAAAAUCAGAUGAUUUGAGUGAUCAUUGCUUUUAUACAUACUGCACAACAGAGUGAGACGGUGAUGUCAAGAUGCUUCAGGUGAUUCAGAAAAAUACAAACCAUCAAAGCUCAUAUUGAUUUAUGGAUCUUCUUUACUUUCACUGCACUUCUCUAUCACAACAGAACAUCAGUACAUCUAUUGGAGCUUAUAUUUGUUUUGGUAAAUGGACUGGUUCUUAUAUAGCGCUUUUCUACUCAUCUGAGCACUCAAAGCGCUUUACACAACUUGUGCAUUCACCCAUUCACACAAAGUGCUUCAUAGCUAACAUUCACAUACUUCGAUGGAUGCAUCUGAGAGCAAUUUGGGGUUAGUAUCUUGCCCAAGGAUAUUUGGCAUGUAGAUAGGGGAAGCCAGGAAUCGAACCACCAACCUUCCGAUCAGUGGAUGACCUGCUCUACCACCUCUGCUACAGCCACCUCGUUUAUUUUAUCACCAAAAUAUUUGUGUCCCACUUGUGAAUGACUAUUCUGCCGCUUGGUGUUCCCACAGUACAAUCAUCCUGUACCCUGUGCUGAGAGAAACACACCCAGAUGUCUUUUGAUCUGAUUUCUUUGUAGUCGUUAAUGAAAAAGUGCAAAAUACACAUAUCUGGUAUUGUGUGAGAUAUAUCAUAUAUAUAUUUUUUUUUUUCAAAAAGUGUUUAAUUUAAAUGUUAAACUUGACUGAUGAUUUUCUAACUGAAUAAAAGAUUUUAC